This 486-nucleotide ribosomal RNA is filed under the name uncultured bacterium. RNAcentral describes it as "partial 16S ribosomal RNA". It matches the Rfam family "Bacterial small subunit ribosomal RNA", at positions 29 to 507 of the family's 1533-position model. The record is from RNAcentral.
AUUGAACGCUGGCGGCAUGCCUUACACAUGCAAGUCGAACGGCAGCACGGGUGCUUGCACCUGGUGGCGAGUGGCGAACGGGUGAGUAAUACAUCGGAACAUGUCCUGUAGUGGGGGAUAGCCCGGCGAAAGCCGGAUUAAUACCGCAUACGAUCUACGGAUGAAAGCGGGGGACCUUCGGGCCUCGCGCUUUAGGGUUGGCCGAUGGCUGAUUAGCUCGUUGGUGGGGUAAAGGCCUACCAAGGCGACGAUCAGUAGCUGGUCUGAGAGGACGACCAGCCACACGGGUACUGAGACACGGCCCAGACUCCGAGGGGGGGCAGAAGGGGGGAAUUUUGGAAAAUGGGCGAAAGCCUGACCAAGAAAUGCCGCGUGGGUGAAGAGGGCCUUCGGGUGGUAAAACUCUUUGGUCGGGAAAGAAAUCCUGGCCCAUAAUGCGGGCGGGGGAUGAGGGUACGGAAAAAAAAAGCCCCGGCUAACUACGUC